CACAAACCAGGCCCCUUUCAGAGAAACAGCUCCCAUGGAAUGACUCUGCCUAGAGGCAAAUAAAGAUGAACAUGUUCAACUGAUUGAUGAGAAGCACAUCCAGGCCCAGGAUUCUUUCUACUACUCUGGGACUCAAGCAGAUACAUGGCUUCUGUUCUUGAGGAAAUUGAGAAUGUAGAAGGAUGCAAACAUUCUAGACAUAAACACGAACCCACUCACCCAAAAAGUACAUGAUGAACACCUACAGUAUGCUAGGCAGGCCCAGGUAAAUGGCUUGGCCCUGAAGACAUAGGUGAUAUUUUCAGGAUAAAGGUCUUCUCCCUUUCUCUUGUUUCCUUAACACUAGUUAAGUGUUAAGGAACCAUUGACUGAUCAGUAUGUGUGGGUCCAUGAGCUUUCUGAAUAUAACCAUUAUUUUCCCCAGUCUACCCAAGUGAUAAGGAAAUAGUAAGUUUCAGGUCUGAUUCCCAGAAUUCUUGAUGGAAAUAUACAAACGAAUCUCCUAAAUCUCUUGUUGCACAUGGGGAAAGCCAGCCAGCCGAGGAGAGACCUUCAUGGGCCAUUAGGUACCAUCCUGUUUCUCAAUGUACUUUUAAAACCCAAGGAGGCCAUGAAUGUGAGGAUGUUCUCAUUCAUUCCUGCUUACCCAGAUAUGUGGAGAGACCUCUGCGUCUUGGUUUGGGGGUCAUGUGUAUUGUUCCCCCAUGCCAUUUCUUCAUGACCGGCCAGAAAUGUAUCACAAAUGGAGGACUGACAUGACAACCCCUGCCAUUCUUCUUCUAGUGGGUCCUCCUUUGCCCUAGUGACACGGGCUUCCAUUUACCUUCCCUCAGGACUGGUCUUUCUCCACUGUCCAGGCAGUUUCUGAAGAGACCGCACUACCUAACCGAGUGAUUACUUCAGGACUUGAAAUAGCUUUUUUCCUGUCCCAGAUAUGACACAGUCACUUCCUCAGUAGAGCCAUCACUCCAAGAGGAACAGGACGUCCUUGUAACGGAGCCAGGAAGGUCACAUGAUCAGACAGCCGGGGGCCUCCUGGGACCUCGUUUCCCCUUAAGCUGUUGGCAAGGACUUGUCUAUGAAAGUCUGUCUAUGAGAGGCCCUGGCAAGCCAUCCCGAACCUACCCUCCUAUAGGGUUUCAGUCCAAAGCAAUUUCUGCAGGGAAUAAACUUUUGAUGAAUGAAUGACAAGCAGGGUGAUUGGGGAGGAUUUCUGUGGAAUAUCUUUGGUGAUCACAUAGAAAUAAACCCAGCAUGCACAGGCUUCCACAUUAGGAGGUCAGGGGAUCCCCAUGAUCCUGUUAUCUUUGUCUUCAGUGGCACCCUUAAAGGAGGCCAUAAAGUUUGGACAAGUAGCCCAAUUUGCUGAUUGGGGAAUCCCUUGGCAUAGUCUGGAGCCAGCUAGAGUAGAGAGUGAGAAACAGGGAGGAAAGAUUUUCCCUAGAAUUCAGGAUCAGGCAAAAG
This 1464-nucleotide long non-coding RNA is filed under the name Homo sapiens (human). RNAcentral describes it as "HSALNT0213272". Lineage: Eukaryota; Metazoa; Chordata; Mammalia; Primates; Hominidae. The record is from RNAcentral.